AAUCUUGAAGAAGUUGCUACUUAACUUAGGCAAUCAUCUCGGAUAGUUUUAACUAAUAUAGAUCAAAUGUUGUCUUAAUAAGUUUACCCUCAUAGUGCCUUCUACUCAAAGACAUGUACAUGCUCUUGCUAAAAGUUUCAGUUUUUCACUAGCACCUAAUCCUUUUUUGUUACUUUCCAGCGGGUGGCCACCCUUUUGCACGGUUAAGUUGGUAAUAUUUUAUCUGCCUAGGGUAUAUACUAAGUAACCUAUACUCCUUUACUGCAUGUGCCCCAAAGAUUCCC
Molecule: long non-coding RNA, 284 nt
Filed under: Setaria viridis
Lineage: Eukaryota; Viridiplantae; Streptophyta; Magnoliopsida; Poales; Poaceae
Description: long non-coding RNA (SVIR_LNC007452)
Source: RNAcentral